RNAcentral lists this unclassified non-coding RNA (148 nucleotides) under soil metagenome. RNAcentral describes it as "partial internal transcribed spacer 1". The record is from RNAcentral.
UAAUAAAGUGUUUUAUGGCACUUUUAAAUCCAUAUCCACCUUGUGUGCAAUGUCGGUCGAUCUUCUUUUUUGAGGAUCGACCAACAUCAACCUUUAUUUUUUAACUCAUUUGUCUGAAAAUAUAUUAUGAAUAAACUAAUUCAAAAUA